AGUGAACGCUGGCGGUAGGCCUAACACAUGCAAGUCGAACGGCAGCACAGUAAGAGCUUGCUCUUACGGGUGGCGAGUGGCGGACGAGAGAGGAAUACAACGGAAUCUACUUUUUCGUGGGGGAGAACGUAGGGAAACUUACGCUAAUACCGCAUACGACCUACGGGUGAAAGCAGGGGAUCUUCUGACCUUGCGCGAUUGAAUGAGCCGAUGUCGGUUUAGCUAGUUGGCGGGGUAAAGGCCCACCAAGGCGACGAUCCGUAGCCGGACUGGGAGGACGAUAGCCCACAUGGGAACUGAGACACGCUCCCUAGUCCUACGGGAGGCACCAGAGGGGAAUGUUGGACAAUGGGCGGAAGCCUGAUCCAGCCGUACCGCGUGUGUGAAAACGGCCUUCGGUGUGUAAUGCCCUUUUGUUGGUAAAGAACAGCAGCAGGUUAAUACCCCGCUGUUCUGACGGUACCCAAAGAAUAAGCACCGGCUAACUUCGUG
This 492-nucleotide ribosomal RNA is filed under the name uncultured bacterium. RNAcentral describes it as "partial 16S ribosomal RNA". It matches the Rfam family "Bacterial small subunit ribosomal RNA", at positions 29 to 507 of the family's 1533-position model. The record is from RNAcentral.